UACGGAGGGGGCUAGCGUUAUCCAGAAUGAUUGGGCGUAAAGGGUUCGUAGAUGGUUCUUUGUAGUUUUAGGUUAAAAAUCAGAAAAAAUUUAGAUAAGGCCUAAAAACAAAUUUACUUGAGUAUAAGAGAAGAUAACAUAACUUCAUAUAUAGAAGUCAAAUUCGAUAAAUUAUGAAAGAAUGCCACAAGCGAAAGCAGUUAUCUAGAUUAUUACUGACAUUGAGGAACGAAAGCUCAGGGAGCAAACAGGAUUAGAUACCCUAGUAGU
Molecule: ribosomal RNA, 270 nt
Filed under: uncultured bacterium
Lineage: Bacteria
Description: partial 16S ribosomal RNA
Rfam family: Bacterial small subunit ribosomal RNA
Source: RNAcentral